AACCCAUAGGACCUACCAUACGCCAUAACAAGCAUUUCUGCACCAGCUUUUGUUGCAGAGUAUGGAUUUGUUGGGAGGAGUUGAGAAGCUUCAUGGUUUCCUACAACAGCAUCCUCAUCUGUCUCCCCAUAAACUUCAUCUGUGCUCACAUGGAUGAAUCUCCUAAUCUGGCCAGUGACUUUGCAGGCUUCUAAAAGUACAUGGGUACCAUAGAUAUUAUUCUUGGUAAACUCAAAGCUGUUACCAAAGGAGUUGUCCACAUGUGUCUGAGCAGCAAAGUGCAUAAUUGUGUCAAUGGAUUCGGUGAUGAGAAGGAAGUUGACAAGGUCAGCACUGCCAAUGUCACCCUUGACAAACUUAAAGUUGGGGCAUGAUUUAGAAGGGAGGAGGUUUUUCAGGUUUGAACAAUAAUCAAGCUUGUCAAGGACAACAA
Molecule: unclassified non-coding RNA, 433 nt
Filed under: Hevea brasiliensis (rubber tree)
Lineage: Eukaryota; Viridiplantae; Streptophyta; Magnoliopsida; Malpighiales; Euphorbiaceae
Source: RNAcentral